Molecule: non-coding RNA, 101 nt
Organism: Holdemania filiformis DSM 12042
Lineage: Bacteria; Bacillati; Bacillota; Erysipelotrichia; Erysipelotrichales; Erysipelotrichaceae
Source: Rfam
AUGACAAACGUAAAAGUUCACCGUAUAUUCCUGGGGAUUGGGCGCAGGAGUUUCUACAUGGCGGCCGUAACCGUCAUUCUACGAUGGAAGCCUUUCUUCAU